Molecule: small nuclear RNA, 107 nt
Filed under: Phocoena sinus (vaquita)
Lineage: Eukaryota; Metazoa; Chordata; Mammalia; Artiodactyla; Phocoenidae
Also listed under: 1 other name
Source: RNAcentral
GUGCUCGCUUCGGGAGCACAUAUACUAAAAUUGGAACGAUACACAGAAGAUUAGCAUGGCCCCUGCGCAAGGAUGACACGCAAAUUUGUGAAGUGUUCCAUAUUUUU